This 74-nucleotide transfer RNA is filed under the name Phycisphaeraceae bacterium. RNAcentral describes it as "tRNA-Val". It matches the Rfam family "tRNA". From Rfam's summary of the family: Transfer RNA (tRNA) molecules are approximately 80 nucleotides in length. The record is from RNAcentral. Lineage: Bacteria; Pseudomonadati; Planctomycetota; Phycisphaerae; Phycisphaerales; Phycisphaeraceae.
GGGCGGAUAGCUCAGCUGGCCAGAGCGCUCGCCUUACACGCGAGUGGUCGCCGGUUCGAAUCCGGCUCCGCCCA